UGCACGUAUACGACCAGAUGGCCUGAAGUAACUCAAGAAUCACAAAAGAAGUGAAAAGGCCCUGCCCUGCCUUAACUGAUGACAUUCCACCAUUGUGAUUUGUUCCUACCCCACAUUAACUGAGUGAUUAACCCUGUGAAUUUCCUUCUCCUGGCUCAGAAGCUCCCCCACUGAGCACCUUGUGACUCCUGCCCCUGCCCACCAGAGAACAAUCCCCUUUGACUGUAAUUUUCCAUUACCUUCCCAAAUCCUAUAAAACGGCCCCACCCCUAUCUCCCUUCGCUGACUCUCUUUUCGGACUCAGCCCACCUGCACCCAGGUGAAAUAAACAGCCAUGUUGCUCACACAAAGCCUGUUUGGUGGUCUCUUCACACGGACACGCAUGAAAUUUGGUGCCGUGACUCAGAUCGGGGGACCUCCCUUGGGAGAUCAAUCCCCUGUACUCCUGUUCUUUGCUCCAUGAGAAAGAUCCACCUAUCACCUCAAGUCCUCAGACCAACCAGCACAAGGAACAUCUCACCAAUUUUAAAUCAGGUAAGCGGCCUCUUCUUACUCUCUUCUCCAACCUCUCUCACUGUCCCUCAACCACUUUCUCCUUUCCACUCUUCAAUCUCUCCCUUCUCUUAAUUUCAAUUCCUUUCAUUUUCUGGGAGAGACAAAGGAGACACGUUUUAUCCAUGGACCCAAAACUCUGGCGCCAGUCACGGACUGGGAAGGCAGCCUUCCCUUGGUGUUUAAUCAUUGCAGGGACGCCUCUCUGAUUAUACAUCCAUGUUUCAAGGGUGUCAGACCACACAGGGAUGCCUGCCUUUGUCCUUCACCCUUAGCGGCAAGUCCCGCUUUUCUGGGGAAGGGGCAAGUACCUCAACCCCUUCUCUCCUUGUCUCUACCCCUUCUCUGCUUUUCUGGGAGAGGGGCAAGUACCCCUCAACCCCUUCUCCUUCACCCUUAGCGGCAAGUCCCGCUUUUCUAGGGGGCAAGAACCCCCAAUCCCUUAUUUCCACACCCCAACCUCUUAUCUCUGUGCCCUAAUUCCUUAUUUCCAUGCCCCAACCCUUUCUCUGCUUUUCUGGAGGGCAAGAAACCCCUACCGCUUCUCCGUGUCUCUACUCUUUUCUCUGGGCUUGCCUCCUUCACUAUGGGCAAGUUUCCACCUUCCAUUCCUCCUUCUUCUCCCUUAGCCUAUAUUCUUAAGAACUUAAAACCUCUUCAACUCUCACCUGACCUAAAAUCUAAGCAUCUUAUUUUCUUCUGCAAUGCCGCUUGACCCCAAUACAAACUCGACAGUAGUUCCAAAUAGCUGGAAAAUGGCACUUUCAAUUUUUCCAUCCUACAAGAUCUAAAUAAUUCUUGUAGUAAAAUGGGCAAAUGGUCUGAGGUGCCUGACAUCCAGGCAUUCUUUUACACAUCAGUCCCUUCCUAGUCUCUGUGCCCAGUGCAACUCGUCCCAAAUCUUCCUUCUUUCCCUCCCUCCUGUCCCCUCAGUCCCAACCCCAAGCGUUGCUGAGUCUUUCUAAUCUUCCUUUUCUACAGACCCAUCUGACCUCUCCCCUCCUCGCCAGGCCAAGCUAGGUCCCAAUUCUUCCUUGGCCUCUGCUCCUCCACCCUGUAAUCUUUUUAUCGCCUCCCCUCCUCACACCUGGUCCAGCUUACAGUUUCGUUGUGUGACUAGCCCUCCCCCACCUGCCCAGCAAUUUACUCUUAAAAAGGUGGCUGGAGCCAAAGGCAUAGUCAAGGUUAAUGCUCCUUUUUCUUUAUCCCAAAUCAGAAGCCUUUAGGCUCUUUUUUAUCAAAUAUAAAAACCCAGCCCAGUUCAUGGCUCGUUCGGCAGCAACCCUGAGACACUUUACAGCCCUAGACCCUAAAAGGUCAAAAGGCCAUUUUAUUCUCAAUAUACAUUUUAUUACCCAAUCUGCUCCCGACAUUAAAUAAAACUCCAAAAAUUAGAAUCUGGCCCUCAAACCCCACAACAGGACUUAAUUAACCCAUCUUCAAGGUGUACAAUAACAAAAAAAAAAGUUGCAAUUCCUUGCUUCCACUGUGAGACAAACCCCAGCCACAUCUCCAGCACACAACAACUUCCAAACGCCUGAACUGCAGUGGCCAGGCGUUCCUCCAGAACCUCCUCCCCCAGGAAAUUGCUACAAGUGCCAGAAAUCUGACCACCAGGCCAAGGAAUGCCUGCAGCCCAGGAUUCCUCCUAAGCAGUGUCCCAUCUGUGUGGGACCCCACUGGAAAUCGGACUGUUCAACUCACCUGGCAGCCACUCCCAGAGCCCCUGGAACUCUGGCCCAAGGCUCUCUGACUGACUCCUUCUUGGCUUAGCAGCUGAAGACUGAUGCUGCCUGAUUGCCUCGGAAGCCCCGUAGACCAUCACGGACGCCGAGCUUCAGGUAACUCUCACAGUGGAGGGUAAGUCCAUCCCCUUCUUAAUCAAUAUGGAGGCUACCCACUCCACAUUACCUUCUUAAGGGCCUGUUUCCCUUGCCUCCAUAACUGUUGUGGGUAUUGACGGCCAGGCUUCUAAACUUGUUAAAACUCCCCAACUCUGGUGCCAACUUAGACAAUACUCUUUUAUGCACUCUUUUUUAGUUAUCCCCACCUGCCCAGGUCCCUUAUUAGGCCGAGAUAUUUUAACCAAAUUAUCUGCUUCCCUGACUAUUCCUGGACUAUAGCCGCAUCUCAUUGCUGCCCUUCUUCCCAAUCCAAAGCCUCCUAUGCGUCCUCCUCUUGUAUUGCCCCACCUUAACCCACAAGUAUAAGAUACCUCUACUCCCUCCUUGGCGAUGGUUCACGCACCCCUUACCAUCUCAUUAAAACCUAAUCACCCUUACCCCACUCAAUGCCAAUAUCCCAUCCCACAGCACGCUUUAAAAGGAUUAAAGCCUGUUAUCACUCGCCUGCUACAGCAUGGGCUUCUAAAACCUAUAAACUCUCCUUUCCCUUCCCCCAUUUUACCUGUCCUAAAACCAGACAAGGCUUACAAGUUAGUUCAGAAUCUGCGCCUUAUCAACCAAAUUGUUUUGCCUAUCCACCCUGUGGUGCCAAACCCAUACACUCUCCUAUCCUCAAUACCUCCUUCUACUACCCAUUAUUCUGUUCUGGAUCUCAAACAUGCUUUCUUUACUAUUCCUUUGCACCCUUCAUCCCAGCCUCUCUUUGCCUUCACUUAGACUGACCCUGACACCCAUUAGGCUCAGCAAAUUACCUGGGCUGUACUGCCGCAAGGCUUCACAGACAGCCGCCAUUACUUCAGUUAAGCCCAAAUUUCAUCCUCAUCUGUUACCUAUCUCGGCAUAAUUCUCAUAAAAACACACGUGCUCUCCCUGCUGAUCGUGUCCGAUUAAUCUCCCAAACCUCAAUCCCUUACAAAAGAACAACUCCUUUCCUUCCUAGGCAUGGUUAGUGCGGUCAGAAUUCUUACACAAGAGCCAGGACCGCACCGUGUAGCCUUUCUGUCCAAACAACUUGACCUUACUGUUUUAGCCUGGCCCUCAUGUCUGCGUGCAGCAGCUGCCGCUGCUUUAAUACUGUUAGAGGCCCUAAAAAUCACAAACUAUGCUCAACUCACUCUCUACAUUUCUCAUAACUUCCAAAAUCUAUUUUCUUCCUCAUAUCUGACGCAUAUACUUUCUGCUCCCCGGCUCUUUCACAAUUACCAUUGUUCCUGGCCCGGACUUUCACAUUAUUCCUGAUACCACACCUGACCCCCAUGACUGUAUCUCUCUGAUCCACCUGAUAUUCACACCAUUUCCCCAUAUUUCCUUCUUUACUGUUCCUCACCCUGAUCACGCUUGAUUUAUUGAUGGCAGUUCCACCAGGCCUAAUCGCCACACACCAGCAAAGGCAGGCUAUGCUAUAGUACAAGCCACUAGCCCACCUCUCAGGACCUCUCAUUUCCUUUCCAUCGUGGAAAUCUGUCCUCAAGGAAAUAACUUCUCAGUGUUCCAUCUGCUAUUCUACUACUACUCAGGGAUUAUUCAGGCCCCCUCCCUUCCCUACACAUCAAGCCCAAGGAUUUGCCCCCCACCCAGGACUGGCAAAUUAGCUUUACUCAACAUGUCCUGAGUCAGGAAACUAAAAUACCUCUUAGUCUAAAUAGACACUUUCACUGAAUAAGUAAAGGCCUUUCCUACAGGGUCUGAGAAGGCCACCGCAGUCAUUUCUUCCCUUCUGUCAGACAUAAUUCCUCAGUUUAGCCUUCCCACCUGUAUACAGUCUGAUAACAGACUAGCCUUUAUUAGUCAAAUCAGCCAAGCAGUUUUUCAGGUUCUUAGUAUU
Molecule: long non-coding RNA, 4281 nt
Filed under: Homo sapiens (human)
Lineage: Eukaryota; Metazoa; Chordata; Mammalia; Primates; Hominidae
Description: HSALNT0401057
Source: RNAcentral